CAAUAGCGUAUAUUAAAGUUGUUGCAGUUAAAAAGCUCGUAGUUGGAUUUUGAGUUUUCUAAGCUUGGUCUACUAUUUAGUAGUACUGACUUAGUGGCUCUUCUUCUCGAGGCCUAUGGGUGCACUUAACCGUGUGUUCAUAGUGUUCGGGACUUUUACCGUGAGAAAAUUAGAGUGUUCAUAGCAGGCUUUUGCUUGAAUAUUGCAGCAUGGAAUAAUGGAAUAGGAUCAUGAUCUUAUUUUGUUGGUUUCUAAGAUCAAGAUAAUGAUUAAUAGGGAUAGUUGGGGGCGUUAAUAUUUAGUUGUCAGAGGUGAAAUUCUUAGAUUUACAAAAGAUUAACUUCUGCGAAAGCAUUCGCCAAGGAUGUUUUCGUUAAUCAAGAACGAAAGUUGAGGGAUCGAAGACGAUUAGAUACCGU
Molecule: ribosomal RNA, 419 nt
Filed under: uncultured eukaryote
Lineage: Eukaryota
Description: SSU rRNA
Rfam family: Eukaryotic small subunit ribosomal RNA
Source: RNAcentral